GGUCAUGAGCGCCAGCGCGAAGCCCCGGCUCGCUGGCCGGCAACCCUCCCACCGCGGCGGGGUGCCCCGGGUGACGACCUGGCCGUACGCCGUCCGGCGUCGGCAAGCGCGGG
RNAcentral lists this non-coding RNA (113 nucleotides) under Cellulomonas massiliensis. RNAcentral's name for it is "S-adenosyl methionine (SAM) riboswitch". It matches the Rfam family "SAM (S-adenosyl methionine) riboswitch aptamer". Rfam says of the family: SAM-IV is a mRNA element that regulates gene expression via direct sensing of S-adenosylmethionine (SAM or AdoMet). SAM-IV riboswitches share conserved nucleotide positions with the previously described SAM-I riboswitches sequence analysis and molecular recognition experiments suggest that SAM-I and SAM-IV riboswitches share similar ligand binding sites, but have different scaffolds. The record is from RNAcentral. Lineage: Bacteria; Bacillati; Actinomycetota; Actinomycetes; Micrococcales; Cellulomonadaceae.